RNAcentral lists this ribosomal RNA (201 nucleotides) under Pseudomonas aeruginosa. RNAcentral describes it as "partial 23S ribosomal RNA". It matches the Rfam family "Bacterial large subunit ribosomal RNA", at positions 2744 to 2925 of the family's 2925-position model. Lineage: Bacteria; Pseudomonadati; Pseudomonadota; Gammaproteobacteria; Pseudomonadales; Pseudomonadaceae. The record is from RNAcentral.
GGUAGCUAUGUUCGGAAAAGAUAACCGCUGAAAGCAUCUAAGCGGGAAACUUGCCUCAAGAUGAGAUCUCACUGGGAACUUGAUUCCCCUGAAGGGCCGUCGAAGACUACGACGUUGAUAGGCUGGGUGUGUAAGCGUUGUGAGGCGUUGAGCUAACCAGUACUAAUUGCCCGUGAGGCUUGACCAUAUAACACCCAAACA